GACCAGACUCCUACGGGAGGCAGCAGUGGGGAAUAUUGCACAAUGGGGGAAACCCUGAUGCAGCAACGCCGUGUGAGUGAAGAAGCGUUUCGGCGCGUAAAGCUCUGUCAGCGGGGAAGAAAGAAGACGGUACCCGACCAAGAAGCCCCGGCUAACUACGUGCCAGCAGCCGCGGUAAUACGUAGGGGGCGAGCGUUAUCCGGAAUUACUGGGUGUAAAGGGAGCGUAGACGGGACAGCAAGUUAGUUGUGAAAGCCCUCGGCUUAACUGAGGAACUGCAACUAAAACUAUUGUUCUUGAGUGCAGGAGAGGAAGGCGGAAUUCCUAGUGUAGCGGUGAAAUGCGUAGAUAUUAGGAGGAACACCAGUGGCGAAGGCGGCUUUCUGGACUGUAACUGACGUUGAGGCACGAAAGUGUGGGGAGCAGACAGGAUUAGAUACCCCGGUACU
RNAcentral lists this ribosomal RNA (449 nucleotides) under uncultured bacterium. RNAcentral describes it as "bacterial SSU rRNA". It matches the Rfam family "Bacterial small subunit ribosomal RNA", at positions 329 to 794 of the family's 1533-position model. The record is from RNAcentral.